CGGACGGGUGAGUAAUGUCUGGGAAACUGCCUGAUGGAGGGGGGAUAACUACUGGAAACGGUAGCUAAUACCGCAUAACGUCGCAAGACCAAGAGGGGGACCUUCGGGCCUCUUGCCAUCAGAUGUGCCCAGAUGGGAUUAGCUAGUAGGUGGGGUAACGGCUCACCUAGGCGACGAUCCCUAGCUGGUCUGAGAGGAUGACCAGCCACACCGGAACUGAGACACGGUCCAGACUCCUACGGGAGGCAGCAUG
RNAcentral lists this ribosomal RNA (253 nucleotides) under uncultured bacterium. RNAcentral's name for it is "partial 16S ribosomal RNA". It matches the Rfam family "Bacterial small subunit ribosomal RNA", at positions 99 to 353 of the family's 1533-position model. The record is from RNAcentral.